UACGUAGGGUGCAAGCGUUGUCCGGAAUUAUUGGGCGUAAAGGGCUCGUAGGCGGUCUGUCGCGUCGGGAGUGAAAACUCAGGGCUUAACCCUGAGCCUGCUUCCGAUACGGGCAGACUAGAGGUAUGCAGGGGAGAAUGGAAUUCCUGGUGUAGCGGUGAAAUGCGCAGAUAUCAGGAGGAACACCAGUGGCGAAGGCGGUUCUCUGGGCAUUACCUGACGCUGAGGAGCGAAAGUGUGGGGAGCGAACAGG
This 253-nucleotide ribosomal RNA is filed under the name uncultured bacterium. RNAcentral's name for it is "partial 16S ribosomal RNA". It matches the Rfam family "Bacterial small subunit ribosomal RNA", at positions 524 to 776 of the family's 1533-position model. The record is from RNAcentral.